AAAACCCUGUACAAGACCAAAAUCAAAAGCACCCUGAAGGACAUACCUAAUGUGCCAUGGCCUCGUACCCCAACAGAGCGCCUGCUAACAGGCUUGUUUGAGUGCAGUGCAGCACAGUUCCUGGGCAUUUUGGAAGCACUCUGGGACAGCAACACGCGGCCACUUCAAAUGAGAAUGCCUGAAGAUCCGGAGCUACAAGAGGUCUACCUGGAACUCCUGUCUGCUGGAAUUAGUUUGUUAUCUGGUGUCACUGGUGAGCAGAGGUAUGAUGACCACCCGUGCCUGUCUCCUCUUGUACUGACACAGAAUUCGAC
This is a long non-coding RNA of Astatotilapia calliptera (eastern happy), 314 nucleotides long. NCBI's taxonomy places the organism in Eukaryota, Metazoa, Chordata, Actinopteri, Cichliformes, Cichlidae. The record is from Ensembl.